CGAGCGGUAACAGAAAGAAAGCUUGCUUUCUUUGCUGACGAGCGGCGGACGGGUGAGUAAUGCCUGGGAAUAUGCCUUAGUGUGGGGGAUAACUAUUGGAAACGAUAGCUAAUACCGCAUAACGUCCUUGUUCAUUACGAGCGGGACCAAAGAGGGGGACCUUCGGGCCUCUCGCGCUAAGAUUAGCCCAGGUGGGAUUAGCUAGUUGGUGAGGUAAAGGCUCACCAAGGCAACGAUCCCUAGCUGGUCUGAGAGGAUGAUCAGCCACACUGGAACUGAGACACGGUCCAGACUCCUACGGGAGGCAGCAGUGGGGAAUAUUGCACAAUGGGGGAAACCCUGAUGCAGCCAUGCCGCGUGUAUGAAGAAGGCCUUCGGGUUGUAAAGUACUUUCAGUCGUGAGGAAGGCAUUGUAGUUAAUAGCUGCAGUGCUUGACGUUAGCGACAGAAGAAGCACCGGCUAACUCCGUG
Molecule: ribosomal RNA, 471 nt
Filed under: uncultured bacterium
Lineage: Bacteria
Description: bacterial SSU rRNA
Rfam family: Bacterial small subunit ribosomal RNA
Source: RNAcentral